This 450-nucleotide ribosomal RNA is filed under the name uncultured bacterium. Its description in RNAcentral is "partial 16S ribosomal RNA". It matches the Rfam family "Bacterial small subunit ribosomal RNA", at positions 338 to 795 of the family's 1533-position model. The record is from RNAcentral.
UCUACGGGUGGCAGCAGUGGGGAAUUUUGGACAAUGGGGGCAACCCUGAUCCAGCCAUUCCGCGUGAGUGAAGAAGGCCUUCGGGUUGUAAAGCUCUUUCGGCCGGGAAGAAAUCGCAUCUCCUAAUACGGGGUGUGGAUGACGGUACCGGAAGAAGAAGCACCGGCUAACUACGUGCCAGCAGCCGCGGUAAUACGUAGGGUGCGAGCGUUAAUCGGAAUUACUGGGCGUAAAGCGUGCGGAGGCGGGUGAGAUCCCCGGGCGUAACCUGGUAACUGCGUUUGUGACUGGUGGGCUUGAGUGCGGCAGAGGGGGGUGGAAUUCCACGUGUAGCAGUGAAAUGCGUAGAGAUGUGGAGGAACACCGAUGGCGAAGGCAGCCCCCUGGGUCGACACUGACGCUCAUGCACGAAAGCGUGGGGAGCAAACAGGAUUAGAUACCCCUGUAGUC